UGUUGAGCUUGACUCUAGUCCGA
This 23-nucleotide small nuclear RNA is filed under the name Arabidopsis thaliana (thale cress). RNAcentral describes it as "snRNA_12544". The record is from RNAcentral. Lineage: Eukaryota; Viridiplantae; Streptophyta; Magnoliopsida; Brassicales; Brassicaceae.